This 468-nucleotide ribosomal RNA is filed under the name uncultured bacterium. RNAcentral's name for it is "partial 16S ribosomal RNA". It matches the Rfam family "Bacterial small subunit ribosomal RNA", at positions 28 to 507 of the family's 1533-position model. The record is from RNAcentral.
GACGAACGCUGGCGGCGUGCUUAACACAUGCAAGUCGAACGGAAAGGCCCUGCUUUUGUGGGGUGCUCGAGUGGCGAACGGGUGAGUAACACGUGAGUAACCUGCCCUUGACUUUGGGAUAACUUCAGGAAACUGGGGCUAAUACCGGAUAGGAGCUCCUGCUGCAUGGUGGGGGUUGGAAAGUUUCGGCGGUUGGGGAUGGACUCGCGGCUUAUCAGCUUGUUGGUGGGGUAGUGGCUUACCAAGGCUUUGACGGGUAGCCGGCCUGAGAGGGUGACCGGCCAAACUGGGACUGAGAUACGGCCCAGACUCCUACGGGAGGCAGCAGUGGGGAAUAUUGCACAAUGGGCGGAAGCAUGAUGCAGCAACGCCGCGUGCGGGAUGACGGCAUUCGGGUUGUAAACCGCUUUCGCCUGUGACGAAGCGUGAGUGACGGUAAUGGGUAAAGAAGCACCGGCUAACUACGUG